GUCCAUGAGGUUUGAUUUUGUUCAUGGGAUUUUGAUUUUGGUUCAUGGAUGAUUUGUCCCGAUAGGAUUUGGCCCAUGAGGUUUAGUUUUGGCUAUGGGAUUUUCCAUGAGGUUUGGUUUUUAGGUUUAUUUGGGUUUGGGUUUUGAUUUUUUUUGGAUGGUUUGAUUUUGUGGUUCGGGUUUCGUCUUAUUUGUGGACUUUGGUUCAGGUUGGUUUGAUUUGAUUUAGUUUGGAGUUUUGGAUUUUAUGUGUGGACAUGGUUUGGAUUUUAUUUGAUUAUUAAUUGGUUAAGUUUGGGUUUUGGUUUGGAGUACCUGGUUUAGGGUUUAUUUGGGUUUGGGUUUUGAUUUUAUUUGUGGGAUGGGUUUGAUUUUGGGUUCGGGUUUCGGUCUUAUUUGUGGACUUGGUUCAGGUUGGGUUUGGAUUUGAUUUGGGUUUGGGUUUUGGUUUUAUGUGUGGAAUGGGUUUGGAUUUUAUUUUUGGACUUGAUUUGGGUUGGGUUUGCGUUUUAUUUGGGGAAUGGGUUUGGGUUUUAUUUGUAGACUUGAUUUGGUUUAGGUUUGGAUUUUAUUUGGAUUUGGGUUCAUAUGUGAACUUGAUUCGGAUUUGCAACUUGAUUUGGGGUCCGAAUUUGAUUUUUCAGUUUGAUUUUGAUUUGAUUUGGGGUCCGAAGAAAUCCCCGUUUGAUCUUGAUUUGAUUUGGGGUCCGAAGAAAUCCCCGUUUGAUCUUGAUUUGAUUUAGGGUUCGAAGAAAUCCCCGUUUGAUCUUGAUUUGAUUUGGGGUCCGAAGAAAUCCCCGUUUGAUUUCGAUUUGGAUUUGAUUUUCCAAUUCGAUUUGGGGUCCGAAGAAAUCCCCGUUUGAUUUUGAUUUGGAUUUGAUUUUCCAAUUCGAUUUGGGGUCCAAAGAAAUCCCCGUUUGAUUCAAUUUGAUUUGCGGUCCGAAGAAAUCCCCGU
RNAcentral lists this long non-coding RNA (955 nucleotides) under Ananas comosus (pineapple). RNAcentral's name for it is "long non-coding RNA (ACOM_LNC023312)". Lineage: Eukaryota; Viridiplantae; Streptophyta; Magnoliopsida; Poales; Bromeliaceae. The record is from RNAcentral.